Molecule: ribosomal RNA, 1278 nt
Filed under: Triticum aestivum (bread wheat)
Lineage: Eukaryota; Viridiplantae; Streptophyta; Magnoliopsida; Poales; Poaceae
Description: partial small subunit ribosomal RNA
Source: RNAcentral
AUGGUCCGCACGAUGACCGAAGGCAUCGUGAAUAGGUUUUUGAGCUCCGCGAAGGCCGAGAUGCUUGAAAAGAACGAGACGGAGAUAAGAUGUCCGUGUCGAAGAUGCAAGCUGAAGAGCCUUAUUGCGGACCCGGAUUCCGGGCAGGUGCGGGACCACCUACUCUUGCGUGGUUUCAUGGAUGGCUAUCGGUGGCAAGGUGAUGAAGAUGACUAUGAAGUCGUCCAUGGGGGUCGGGCAAGAAAUGAGGAUGGGCAGCAAGACAACCACCGCGGCUCGGGCGGGCGAGAAGACGAAGAAUCUCCAGGACAUGAUCACGACGGUGAUGCUGUACACAGUCAUCAUGUAGAAGAUGCCGGACAUGAUGAUGAGGAAGAUGCGGGAGCAGACGAAGGGCAUGAUCAUGAAGAUGAAGAUGCCGGCGGAGCAGACGACGAUGUACCAUCGAUGGGCUGGGUGCAGGACCCUCAUAUUCAAGAGCUGCUUCUCAAGCAGACGGAUAACGCAAGAGCUGCCGCCCGAGAGAAAGCCAAGCUGGAUCAACUGGAGAUAGACGCGGUUACUCCAUUGUAUGAAGCAUGCAGGCCCGAGGAUACCCGCCUGAAAGUAACGCUCAUGGCUCUGGAGAUGAAGGUAAAGCACAAAAUGACCGACGCAUGCUUCGACGAGAACAUGUCAUUCUGGCACGAACGUCUUCCCAAGGGGAACAAGUGCCCGACCAGUUUCGAGGAGGCGAAGAAAAUCGUGUGUCCUCUGGAUUUACCGCACGUGAAAUACCAUGUGUGCAUGAACAAUUGCAUCAUUUAUCGGGACGAGCACACGGAGUCUACCAUAUGUCUGGUGUGCGGCGUCACUCGAUACAAGAAGAGGAAGAAAGCUCCUCGAAAAGUGGUGUGGUACUCUCCGAUCACUCCUCGUCUGCAGCGGUAUUUUGCGGACCCUAAGGUAGCAAAGCUCCUGCGUUGGCACGCGGAUAGGGAGGAGAAGAAGCGAGAAGAUGACGCAAAUGAUCCGGAGAUAAAUAAAAAAGAAAAGAUGCUGAGUCACCCUAAGGAUGGGAGCCAGUGGCAAGCGUUGAACUUCGAACACCCAGAAUUUGGGAACGAUCCAAGGAACAUCGUGCUGGGCGCGAGCGCCGAUGGAGUCAAUCCGUUUGGCAGCCAGAGAAGCACACAUAGCACCUGGCCUGUGUUUGUGUGGAUGUACAACCUUCUCCCCUGGUUGUGCAUGAAGAGGAAGUACAUUCACAUGAGUAUGCUAAUUGAAGGGCCGAAACAA